UAAGGUGCAUCGAUCCGAUUAUAAUGUUGUCAAAAAAAAAUAUUAUAACCCCAUUUAAGUUUUGGUAUAUUUUUAUUAUCAACCAAUAAGAAUACCUAUUUACACUCGGAUAAGGAUGAUAAGUUAGUUUGUAUUAUAUUUGGAUCUUGCUAAGCCACGUUGGCAUAAAAGUCUUAGAGAGAUGUCUCAAAUUUGUCCCCAAAGAUCCCUCCAACUUUGUUUUCUAACCUGUACGAUAUUGUUUUGGAAAGGUUUUAAAGGCUUAUUCCAUAAAUUUAGCAGAUUUACUGCUAAGAUCUUACAUGGCGUAGUACAAGAUUGUAUUUUGGCCCAAAAUUAAACUAUGAUGUGUAAUUAGUCCUCCAUAUGUUA
Molecule: long non-coding RNA, 372 nt
Filed under: Musa acuminata (dwarf banana)
Lineage: Eukaryota; Viridiplantae; Streptophyta; Magnoliopsida; Zingiberales; Musaceae
Description: long non-coding RNA (MACU_LNC005716)
Source: RNAcentral